UCCCAGGUGGCUCUGUGGUAGAGAAUCUGCCUGAUAAUGUAGGAGCUGCAGGAGACACAGGUUCAAUCCCUGGGCUGGGAA
This 81-nucleotide transfer RNA is filed under the name Ovis aries (sheep). It matches the Rfam family "tRNA". Rfam says of the family: Transfer RNA (tRNA) molecules are approximately 80 nucleotides in length. Their secondary structure includes four short double-helical elements and three loops (D, anti-codon, and T loops). The record is from Rfam by way of RNAcentral. Lineage: Eukaryota; Metazoa; Chordata; Mammalia; Artiodactyla; Bovidae.